UGGCUGGGAUGACAGAAACAUACGUUUCUCGAUCCUGAUACUUGAUUUUUUUUCAAGGACCAAACUUUGAUGACCUUUGUGCGUGUCUGAGCCAG
This 95-nucleotide small nucleolar RNA is filed under the name Zea mays. RNAcentral's name for it is "small nucleolar RNA snoR126". It matches the Rfam family "small nucleolar RNA snoR126". The record is from Rfam by way of RNAcentral. Lineage: Eukaryota; Viridiplantae; Streptophyta; Magnoliopsida; Poales; Poaceae.